GACGAACGCUGGCGGCGUGCUUAACACAUGCAAGUCGAACGGAAAGGCCCCUUUGGGGGUACUCGAGUGGCGAACGGGUGCGUAACACGUGAGUAACCUGCCCUUGACUUCGGGAUAACUUCAGGAAACUGGGGCUAAUACCGGAUAGGAAUCCUUGCUGCAUGGUGGGGGUUGGAAAGCUUCGGCGGUUUUGGAUGGACUCGCGGCUUAUCAGCUUGUUGGUGGGGUAGUGGCUUACCAAGGCUUUGACGGGUAGCCGGCCUGAGAGGGCGACCGGCCACAUUGGGACUGAGAUACGGCCCAGACGCCUACGGGAGGCAGCAGUGGGGAAUAUUGCACAAUGGGCGGAAGCCUGAUGCAGCAACGCCGCGUGCGGGAUGACGGCCUUCGGGUUGUAAACCGCUUUCAGCAGGGGCGAAGCUUGUGGUGACGGUACCUGCAGAAGAAGCACCGGCUAACUACGUG
Molecule: ribosomal RNA, 465 nt
Filed under: uncultured bacterium
Lineage: Bacteria
Description: partial 16S ribosomal RNA
Rfam family: Bacterial small subunit ribosomal RNA
Source: RNAcentral